Molecule: long non-coding RNA, 1123 nt
Organism: Dioscorea cayenensis subsp. rotundata (Guinea yam)
Lineage: Eukaryota; Viridiplantae; Streptophyta; Magnoliopsida; Dioscoreales; Dioscoreaceae
Exons: 3
Source: RefSeq, a predicted model, not a curated record
AUGUGAAGUAAUGGCACCGAGGGCAUCACCUCAUCACCUCUGAAAGUAGCUCAGAUUGCUAUUGAUUCCAUUGGGUUGGGUUAUAACAUCAGCACUGAUCUGAGACUCAAGUACUGCAAGAAAGAGUGUGCAGAUCCAUGUCUGAUAGAGCUUGAUCAUGAUCAGGUCCAAGAUCUAGUUCUUCCCGGCGGCAUAUCGGUUGCAAAUGUUCCCAAGGCCAUCAAAUAUGACAAGGGAUAGAGGACACGAUUUAGAUCUGAUGUUCCCUCUUUCAGCAGUUGCACUGCUGGGAGGGCCAUCACUGCUAAGAGCCUGUAAAUGUUUCUGAAGAGAAGAAGUCCAUGGAGAAGCAUGGAAAGCAUCGGAAGAAGAAUUCUGAGUCAGUGAGUGUUCUUUCUUUACCCUAAAUCAUGUUCCUUUUUUUUGGAAUUUUAUUUUAUUCUGGCUGUAUUUACUGAUAGAAAAGAGGUGAUAUAUAUAUUUGUGGUGCUCUUGGAUGGAGGGAAUGAAAAUGGAGGAAAAUAAUUGAUAGAGGUGAAAAGAAAAGGAAAGAUAAAUUUCAUUGGUAUAUGUCUUCUUAAUUUGUAUAUCCAUCUUAUUUUCUGUGUGUUUGCAUUUUGGACUUGGGAUUGAAUGAGAAUAGAUGAGAACAUGGACACUGGUGAAAGGGAAAGCAAAGAUUAGAAAUUUCAUGGAUGUAUAUCCAUCUUAUUUUCUGUGUUUGUGGACUUUGGAUUGAACUUAAAUGAAAAAAAAAAAACCACAGAAAUUGGUGAAAGGAAAAGCAAAUAUUAGAAAUUUUGUUAAUAUGUUUUUUUUUCUUGCUUAUCCACAUGUGCAUCCAAAUUGUUAGCUGAAAUUGUUAAGAAAGGAGAUGUCAUAAUGGUUUAUGCUUGUUACUUGGUACUCAGUUGUUGAGGGAAAAAAUAUUUACUAUUGCAAACUGGUACCACACCUAGAGUCAUUUGAUGGCAUAAGAAAAUGGAUCCAAUUGUUUGGUUGUGAUCUGGUCCCUGGAACAGCAGAGAUUUAUAUAACAAAAAAGCAUUAGUUGGUGGACCAUGUGUUGAAAGAGCGGUUUGUGAUUUAUUGUUGGAGAUUGAAGGUGAUCAGAGUAUCUACA